AAAACCACAGGGAUUGCCUCAGUAACGGCGAGUGAAGCGGCAACAGCUCAAAUUUGAAAUCUGGCUCCUCUGCGGGGUCCGAGUUGUAAUUUGUAGAGGGUGUUUCGGGCGCGGUGCCGGUCUAAGUCCCUUGGAACGGGGCGUCAUGGAGGGUGAGAAUCCCGUAUGCGACCGGCGGCCAACCCCAUGUGAAACCCCUUCGACGAGUCGAGUUGUUUGGGAAUGCAGCUCAAAAUGGGUGGUAAAUUUCAUCUAAAGCUAAAUACCGGCCAGAGACCGAUAGCGCACAAGUAGAGUGAUCGAAAGAUGAAAAGCACUUUGGAAAGAGAGUCAAAAAGUACGUGAAAUUGUUGAAAGGGAAGCGCUUGCAACCAGACCUGCCCGCGGGUGAUCAGCCGUCCCUUCGGGGGUGGUGCACGCGCCCGCGAUCAGGCCAGCAUCGGUUCGGGCGGCCGGAUAAAGGCUUCGGGAACGUAGCUCCCCUCGGGGAGUGUUAUAGCUCGGGGCGCCAUGCGGCCUGCCUGGACCGAGGACCGCGCUCCGGCAAGGAUGCUGGCGUAAUGGUUGUAAGCGGCCCGUCUUGAAACACGGACCAAGGAGUCUAACAUCCAUGCGAGUGUUUGGGCGUCAAACCCAGGCGCGCAAUGAAAGUGAACGGAGGUGGGACCCCCCCGAGGGCGCACCAUCGACCGAUCCAAAUGUCUUCGGAUGGAUUUGAGUACGAGCAUGGCUGUUGGGACCCGAAAGAUGGUGAACUAUGCCUGAAUAGGGUGAAGCCAGAGGAAACUCUGGUGGAGGCUCGCAGCGGUUCUGACGUGCAAAUCGAUCGUCAAAUUUGGGUAUAGGGGCGAAAGACUAAUCGAACCAUUUAGUAGCUGGUUCCAGCCGAAGUUCCCCCUCAGGAAA
Molecule: ribosomal RNA, 906 nt
Filed under: Ikaeria serusiauxii
Lineage: Eukaryota; Fungi; Ascomycota; Lecanoromycetes; Teloschistales; Teloschistaceae
Description: Ikaeria sp. HJMS-2019a partial large subunit ribosomal RNA
Rfam family: Eukaryotic large subunit ribosomal RNA
Source: RNAcentral